RNAcentral lists this ribosomal RNA (473 nucleotides) under uncultured organism. RNAcentral's name for it is "partial 16S ribosomal RNA". It matches the Rfam family "Bacterial small subunit ribosomal RNA", at positions 334 to 798 of the family's 1533-position model. The record is from RNAcentral.
CACUCCUGCGGGAGGCAGCAGUGGGGAAUUUUGGACAAUGGGCGAAAGCCUGAUCCAGCCAUGCCGCGUGCAGGAUGAAGGCCUUCGGGUUGUAAACUGCUUUUGUACGGAACGAAACGGCCUUUUCUAAUAAAGAGGGCUAAUGACGGUACCGUAAGAAUAAGCACCGGCUAACUACGUGCCAGCAGCCGCGGUAAUACGUAGGGUGCAAGCGUUAAUCGGAAUUACUGGGCGUAAAGCGUGCGCAGGCGGUUAUGUAAGACAGUUGUGAAAUCCCCGGGCUCAACCUGGGAACUGCAUCUGUGACUGCAUAGCUAGAGUACGGUAGAGGGGGAUGGAAUUCCGCGUGUAGCAGUGAAAUGCGUAGAUAUGCGGAGGAACACCGAUGGCGAAGGCAAUCCCCUGGACCUGUACUGACGCUCAUGCACGAAAGCGUGGGGAGCAAACAGGAUUAGAAACCCCAGUAGUCCCAU